GGCCAUUAUAUGAAAGUCUCAACAGUUUCUAAGCUGUAAACAUGGACCAAAGUAUUGAAAAAUUGGCUGUUGAUUAUGAUAAAAUCUCAAGCUUAGCCUCUCAAGGUUAUAGAAUCAAUAUAAGGACACCACCCAUCAUUUUCAAAAAGGGUGAAUAAGAAUGUACGAACUUAGAACAAGGAUGCAUAGGUUCAAGCAACCACCUAGAUUUAUUUUUACAGUGCAAAAAACACUACAGAACAAGUCUUCAAAUUGCAGUAAUUGCCUCAUGUCUAUGGAUUAAAGAUGAAAAACCUAUGGCUUGAGAGCCAAAGCAAGUCCAAACUUGGCACCCUUGUCAACAGAUUUAGUGUCCACUUCUCCUGAAACUGUGAAAAGGGACUUUGGACGCCACUCAUGUUGAAGCAGAGCACUGGCCUUGCCAAAGUUGUUAAUCCUUGCCUUCACACUGGUCAAAGGAUCCAAUCGGUGCUGAGUACCCACGGUGAUGAUGUUCUCAUUGGUAGAGAAGCUGUGAUUCACCUCAGCCCCAACAGCGGUACUUGUAAGAGGGCUCACUGUGUGGUAGUAUGAUGCAGUCAGAUUGUCUCCCUUGUUAUUCAGAUUCAAAGAAGCAACAAGGUCGGCAUUUGUGAAGCUCAAACCAGCAUUGCAUUUGGUGAAAUCUCCAGUCUUGGUGUCAAAGGAUACAUCAGUUCCAAGAGCAACAAUGUUGGUACCCACUACACCAGAAAAGUUAACAAUAGGGUUUGCUGUCAACCCUACGCUAGUGCAUAUCCCAGCAUAGUCAUGCAGAUAUUGAACUUCCAACUUUCCAGACCUUUGGUCAGGAACUCUGAAGCUUAAAA
RNAcentral lists this unclassified non-coding RNA (848 nucleotides) under Hevea brasiliensis (rubber tree). Lineage: Eukaryota; Viridiplantae; Streptophyta; Magnoliopsida; Malpighiales; Euphorbiaceae. The record is from RNAcentral.